CCUACGUGAGGCCGCAGUGAGGAAUAUUGGUCAAUGGGCGAGAGCCUGAACCAGCCAAGUCGCGUGAAGGAUGACGGCCCUACGGGUUGUAAACUUCUUUUGUCAGGGAGCAAUUGAGUCCACGUGUGGGCUUCUCGAUAGUACCUGAAGAACAAGCAUCGGCUAACUCCGUCCCAGCAGCCGCGGUAAUCCGGAGGAUGCGAGCGUUAUCCGGAUUUAUUGGGUUUAAAGGGUGCGUAGGCGGAAUAUCAAGUCAGCGGUAAAAAUUCGGGGCUAAACCCCGUCGUGCCGUUGAAACUGAUGGUCUUGAGUGGGCGAGAAGUAUGCGGAAUGCGUGGUGUAGCGGUGAAAUGCAUAGAUAUCACGCAGAACUCCGAUUGCGAAGGCAGCAUACCGGCGCCCAACUGACGCUGAAGCACGAAAGCGUGGGUAUCGAACAGGAUUAGAUACCCCUGUAGUC
Molecule: ribosomal RNA, 460 nt
Filed under: uncultured bacterium
Lineage: Bacteria
Description: partial 16S ribosomal RNA
Rfam family: Bacterial small subunit ribosomal RNA
Source: RNAcentral